This is a long non-coding RNA of Diospyros lotus (date-plum), 10202 nucleotides long. RefSeq lists it as uncharacterized. Lineage: Eukaryota; Viridiplantae; Streptophyta; Magnoliopsida; Ericales; Ebenaceae. The transcript has 8 exons. The record is from RefSeq and is a predicted model, not a curated record.
UUUCUCUCUUAUCAAAUCUUUGGCCAAAACGUAAAACCCUAACUCACCCACUCUCCCCUCUCUCUGAACUCCCGCCGCAGCCGUUGACCCCUCCGCCUCCAUCUCCGGUCGUCGCCGCCGCCUCCAGAUCUGCUUCCGGUCGUCGUCGCCGCCUCCAGAUCUGCCUCCGGUCAUCGUCGUCGCUCCACAAGGUUCGGCUCUCUCUCUCUCUCUCUUCCGGACUCGUUGCACCUCCGGUCGUCGUCGCCGCCUCCAGAUCUGCCUCCGGUCAUCGUCGUCGCUCCACAAGGUUCGGUUCUCUCUCUCUCUCUCUUCCCCUCUCUUCCGGACUCGUUGCACCUCCGGUCGUCGUCGCCGCUGCUGUUGUUUGAACCUGGAGGGAUUUGAUUUUUUUUUUCCUGUGCUAAAAUGAGUGGUUAUAAUCUGGAAUUUUCCAAUUUGAUUUUGUCUUGUCUUGAUAGGUUUGGGCUAAUUUUAGUAUCUCUUCCCAUCUUGUUGGUUAAUCUAUUAAAUUGUUAUUAUCUUAUCUAAUUAUUUUGGUUAUCUCAAUCGUCAGUAGCAUUUAUGCUUGAUUUUCAGUAGAUUUUAUUUCAGAUUUGGACGCAAUUUAUCUCUUCAUAGCCGGCCUUUAUAAAUAGGUUGCUAGUGCCGACACUGAGAGUGUUUUUUGUACAAUGCCUUGGUUCUGGAUUGUGGGUGCAAUGCUUAAAUGAGGUUCUUUUUUCUUUUUUGCUCUGUUAAGUAUGGUUUUUUCAAGAACUGUUAUAAGUCUUGUGUAUUUUCUUGUAAUAUGUUUGGAUCCAGAACGAUUGUGUAUAAAUCUAUAGCUUGCUUGUGCUUAUUCAUGCAGUUUACUUGUAUUAAGAAUUUUAUUUUGGGGGGGGGGGGGGGGGGGAGUAUUAAGAACCUGUUAUAAGUCUUGUGUAUUUUUUUGUAAUAUGUUUUAAUGCUCAAUGCAAACAACUAUACUAUUAUAACAGUUAGAAGUCCAAUUUGGUGCUUUGAAGUCCUUUCAGAUUUACUUGUUAUUUAUUUGGACUUUAGAAUUACUUGUUAUUUAUUUGGGUAUAUUUGUAGUAUUUUUUACAUAAUUUGGUUAAUGGUUAUGCUAUGAAAAGUUAUUUAAAUUUGAGUUUUAUUUUAUUAUUAGUUUAAACUCGAGCUCAUAAACGAGCUUUUGUCGAGUCGAGUUCGAGCUCGGCUUCCGAACAAAAUAAUCAUGCUUUUAAUGAUCCGAGCUCGAGCUUGGCUCGUGAACGGAUCUAAAUGAAUUUUAAGCGAGCCAAGUUCGAGCUCAUGAAGAACAAAAUGAACCCGAGCUCAAACAAGAUUUCGAGCUCGAGCUCCAGACAAAUAGAUCAGGCCAAGCCUAAGCUAUGCCAAGCUCAGCUCGAUUUGAUUCGAUUAAAGCUCUACGUAUUUCAAACUUUUGUGAUCAGUUUGCAAACAAUUGAAGUUUAGUGACCACGUUGCAAAAGAUACUAAAAUUUUGUAACUUUUAGUGUGAUUUACCCCCGAUUUUGCUCUUCGAAACUUCCUGACUCUUCAUAAUCCCAAAAUCAAUUCAAAAGAUAUUAUUGAAAGUGGAGAGACCUUGAAAAUCUAAUUGGACCCACCUAUUUGGCUGUAUUUGUUUUUUCAGUUUUGACUUGUAUUUUUUUUACCAGCUGUAAAAUGAAAAUUCUUUUAAUUUUAUUCAUUUCAUAUUUCCUAUUCAUCAACCCAAAAUUAUCAUACUAAAUUAAUAGGUAAUAUUGUUCAUCAAUAUUUGUUCUCUUUCUAAAUUUUACUUGUAGAGAAUGUUUGCCUUUGAUGUUUUAACAUCUUGUAUAGUUAGAAGUAUCAUGUUAAAGAACCAAUCUUAGUAAUAUACUUGGGUCAUCAUUUAAUAUUGAUUUAAUCUUUUUUUUAUUAUUUAUUUUUCACAUCUUUGGUAUAAUGUGCUGAUUAUUAAAAAAGUAUAGCUGGCUAUUUUCAAGUUGUGGAGGGCAUUUUGAUAGGACUUUAAAAAAAAGUGGAGACUCAUUGGAGUACUUUUCCCAUUAUUUAUUUUAUUAGCACAUCAACUUCUAGCAAUUGUGUGUGUGUGUUUUUCUUUUAACAACUUUCGAAAAAGAAAAAAAAGGGGGGGGGGGGGCGAAUCCACAUGAAGACCCGCAAAAGCAAAAACAUUAAAGGCAGAAUCUAGCUUAAAAAUAAUUAACACACACUAAUAAUUUAAAAACUAUUUUUCAAUAACAAUGAUAGACAGAGUGUUUGAACAUUUUAUUUAUUUCCUAAAGAAGCUGUAAAUAUUGAUCAUAGACUUGUUUUAACAUGUUUACAUAAUUGAAGGACUCUGGGGGAGUGACAUAAUCAAAUCCAUCAAGAAAUUGAAAUUCUGGAGAUCCCCCACAAACUCCAUGUUUUGCAUCCUCCAAUUCCAGCAAUAAUGGCUAGUCAACACGCACACGACCCGCCCGUUGCCCCAAAUGGAGCAUGUUUUUCCACAUCACAGACACACAAACUCACACUUGAUGAUGAGCCACUAAAUAAACUAUCAACGCUGUUACUUUUUGAAAAUACUGAAGAAGCCCUUAUGGGUUUUGGCAGAUAAACUCUAGUCUUGGCAGGUUCUUCAGUUUUGGAAUCAUUUGAAUUUUCAUUGCUUUUCUUGAUCUUUGCUUCUUUAAUUUUUUGCUUGUCGUUGGCUUCUGGAUCUGUGGAUUUCUUGUAUUAAGUCUUCUUCCACAUUUAAGGUGAUGUUUCUUUUUGUUAAUCCCAUGCAUGCCUCAAUCUGCAACUCUUCCCACAUCUUAGUACCCCUAUAAAUAAAAGUAUUACUAUUACCAAAUAUUAGACAAGAAUAUUAUUAAGAGAUCAAAAGGAUAUAUGCUCCUUAUGGAAAUUUCAAGAAAACACAUAUAUCAGCUUUCUUGGGGAGAGAUCUCCAUUGGCUUUUUGUGAUUGGAAGGUCAGAGGCUCGAGUUGCAGAAAUCUCUUUGUAAAGUAAGGAUCUUUCUAGAUCCUUGUAAAAAGAGGGAGUGGUGCACUUGGAGGAGGGGAAUGGGGGGAGGGAGAGGAGUUCAACAGUUUGGAGUAAGGAAGAAUUUGAGCUCUUUACUUCUGGAAGAUUGAUUUUAUUGUACACCAAAUGUGUUAUUAUAUCUAUAAUAGAUAAAUUUGGAAUUUUCUAUUCUAUUUAUUUGUUGUUAGGAGUGGUACCUUCUAUACAAAUUGUAUCAUAAUUUCACCUUCUUCUUUUGUCUUCCUAUUACUUAGGUUUAGGUUUUAUGUGGAUUGUGCUCCACAAUUAAUGAAGUAUAAUACAUUUGGCUCUAGGUUUUAGUAGUCACAGUCUUUCAUUGAAUUUUACUCUUAAUGCUUUUAGAGAGAAAAAAAAAUAUGAAUCAUGCUUACAAAUUGUUCAUUAUUGUUACAACAAAAUGAUGACUAAACGAUUUAAUUUCGAAGUUUUUCAUGUUAUUGUCAAUCUGAUCUAUUUAACAUGAUUUUGUUGUAUUUUCUCUAACUUACACCCAUUUGUGAUGGAUUAUUUUUGAUGGGUAGCCUUCCAUUAGGAUCUCUGAAUUAAAGUUAGAAAUUUUCACUCAAAAUUUUAAUGAAUUAUUUCUGAUAUUUGAUAUUGCCAUUGGUUGGGAGAAAUUUUCACUAGAGAUUUUCGGUUGAUGCAUUAUUUCUGAUAUUUGAUUGCAUGGAUAGCAUUAUUUCCAAUAUUUGUUGGAAAUUUUCACUCGAAAUUUUGAUAGUUUAUUUAUGAUAUAUCAUACUAUGGUUGCAUGGGUAGCAUUAUUUCUGAUAUUUAAUACUGUGGUUGCUUGAGAGAAAUUUUCACUCGAAAUUUUCAUGAUUGAUAGAUUAUUUCUUAUAUUUGAUACUAUGAUUGCAUGGAUAACAUUAUUUCUAAUAUUUGUUAGAAAUUUUCACUCGAAAUUUUGAUGGAUUGUUUUUUAUAUUUGAUAUUGUGGUUGCAUGGAUAGCAUUAUUUCUUAUAUUUGAUAUUGUGGUUGCUUCGGUAGCCUUCCAUUGGGAUGUCAAAAUUCAAAUUAUAAAUUUUUACUUGAAAUUUUCAUGAUUGAUGGAUUAAAAUGGCAUUUUAUUGAGAUUAGAAAUUUUCAUAUUCAGUUUAAUUCCAUUGUUAGUGUUUGGGUUGGAUGAAGUGUCUAAUUAGUAGCAUGAUUCCUAGUAUUCUUAUAUUCUUGUUGUAAGGGUCCACUCCUGGAUAUUCUCACUAGCAUAGGAUAUCUAGAAGGAGAUCAUCAUAAAGAUGAUAUAAAAUAAUAAAAUUCAACACCAUAUUUCUAUCUAUAGAUAAUAUCAAUAAAAGCCAAAAUAAAAGUUUAUAUCAUCCUCAGUUUAUAUCAUCUUGGCACCAUGGCCUAUACAAAACGUAUACAAGGGCAUUAAUGCAAAUAACAAAAUAAGAUCUCUUCACAGUAUGCCCUCAUCAAAACGAAACUACUGACAAAGACUUUCUAGUCUAGGAUGUCUUUAUACACCUCUAGACCCUGAGCUCUAGUUCUAUCGGACUUGUCCUCAAUAGUUGUUUUACCUUUACCUGGAAUGACAUGAGAGUAAACAAAGUGAGCCACAAGCCUCAAUAAGUAUAUGUAUAAAGCAUGAAGAGAUAGAAUCAAGGGCACAGAUAACCAAGAUAGAGUAAAUAAUGACUCUAGGAAAAUGUGUAAAUAGGACACAACUCAUAUGUUUCCACUAGAAGCUUACGAUGCACCAACACCACAAAUGAGUGAAAGCAAUUAACUUCAAUGCUGGUGGCGAUGUUCUUGUAUCGGGCUUAGUCAGUGGGAAUAUCAUAUUAUAGAAUUGGAAUACUCAUCAAGCUAAUUUUUCUUUUGAUUCAAGUCACAAUGAUUAUGUUUUUCAAGUAAAUAUCGUGCCUUACACUAAUGAUCGAACCAUUAUUUUACUUGAUUCUUAUGGAAAGGUAAUAUGUCUGACUUAUUUUCUUUCUAUAAAUAAAUGAUAAGGUUUAUUUGUACCAUUAAAGUUGAAACAAUUUGCUAAUAGAAAAUAUUUUAAAAAAAUUAGAUUAUAUAUGCAUGUAUGUAAUUUCGUGCAUUAAAUUAUAAAAUUUUGAAAGAUCAUGUUCUUAUCGAGGAGAAAUCUUAAGAGAUGAGGAUUUCUUGAAUUUUUAAGGGAGAUGAAGUGCAUCAACAUUGGUCAUUUUUUGGAGAUCGUGGAUUUCAAACUAAUAAGUAUGCCAUUGUGCUUGGAAGCCCUUACCAAAUGUAUAAAUGUGGUAAUGCGGGACGAGUUUUCCAUGUAAUACGAUCUAUUAUUAUUUAUUUAUUUUUUGUUUAUGUUGUUGCUUCUUUCAUUACAAAUGAUGGAUGGGUUUAUCAUGUAUUAUAUUUGAUGUCAUUGUAUAUUUCACAAGUUGAGAUGAGAUUAAAACCUGAUUUUAGAGUUUUUACUUUACCACGUAUCGAGGUCCCUAAUUUUGGUCAACUCACCCAAACAAAAAUUGCAAUAGAUAUGAGAAAUAUUGAAAUCUUUAUUGUUGGUGGAUCAAAUGAGUUUGUGCGAUUGUUUGACGUACGUCAAACUAAUAGAGCUUUUGAAUUGCUUAGUGCCAAUCAUUUAAUUGAUGAAGAUGUGUGCAUAACGGGGGUGAUAUUCUCCAAACACAGAGAGCUGAUUGUGUCUUACGAUGAAGAGUUCAUAUAUCUGUUUUCAAGGGAUAAGGGACCAAAUGUCAAUAGAUAAGCAUCUUCCCAAGCCUACAGAAGGCAUAAAAACUGUGACUUUAAACCAAGUUUGAACUUCUUUAGGCCAAACUCUGAUUAUGUUGUGAGUGGAUCAGAUUGUGAUCGAAUUUUCAUAAUUAGAGUUUGACAAUUUGAUCCAGUCACAACAUAAUCAAAGUUUGGCUCAAAUAAGCUUAAACUUGGUUUAAAGUCACAAUUUUUAUGUCUUUUGUGGGCCUGGGGAGAUGUUUCUCAAUUGGCAUUCGGUCCCUUAUUCCUUGAAAAAAGAUUGAUGAACUCUUCAUUGUAAGACACAAGUAGCUCUCUUUGUUUGGAGAAUGUCACCCCCGUUAUGCACACAUCUUCAUCAAUUAAAUGAUCAUGAUUAAACAAUUCAAAGGGUCUAUUACUUUGAUGUACGUCAAAUAACUGCACAAACUCAUCUAAUCCGCCAACAACAAAGAUUUCAAUAUUUCCUAGUUCUAUUGCAAUUUCUGUUUGGAUGAGUUGACCAAGGUCGGGGACUAGAUACGUGGUAAAGUAAAAACUCUAGAAUCAAGUUUUAAUCUCAUAUCAACUUGUGAAAUAUACAAUGGUAUCAAAUAUAAUACAUGGCAAACCCGUCCAUCAUUUGUAAUGUAAGAAGCAACAUAAAAAAAAUAGAUAAGAAUAGAUCAUAUUACAUAGCAAACUUGUCCUGCAUUACCACAUGUAUACAUUUGGUGAGGGCUUCUAGGCACAAUGGCAUACUUAUUAGCUUGAAAUCCACGAUCUCCAAAAGAUAGCCAACGCUGUUGCACUCCACCUCCCUAAAAAAUCCAAGAAAUCCUCAUCUGUUAAGAUUUCUCCUCAAUAAGAACAUUAUCUUUCAAAAUUUUAAAGUUUAACGCACCAAAUUACAUACAUGCUUAUAUAAUCUAAUUUUUUCUUUUAAAAAUUUUCAUUAGCGAAUUGUUUCACUAAUAAAACCACAAAACUUUCAGAUCAAUUCCAAUAUUAAUUAAGGAGCACAAUGCCACAACUUUAAUAGUACAAAUAAAUCUUAUCAUCUGUCUAUAGAAAGAAAAUAAGCCAAACAAAUUACAUUUCUAUAAGAACAAAGAGAAAUAAUGGUUCGAUCGUCAGUGUAAGGCACGAUAUUUACUUGGGAAACAUAAUCAUUAUAACCUGAAUCAAAAGAUAAAUUAGCUUGAUUAGUAUCCUAAUUCCAUAGUAUGAUUUUCCCACCGACUGAGCCCGAUACAAGAACAUUACCACCAGUAUUGAAGCUAAUUGCUUUCACUCGUUUGUUGUGUUAGUCCAUCGCAGGCUUUUGGUGGAUAUCAAGACGAAGCACAAAAUCCCGAUAUCAAAAUGCAGCAACGAAAUGUGAGAAUAUUAGAAAUCAUGUUAUCAAUUAGACACUUCACCUAACUCAAACACUAACAAUGGAACUAAAUUGAAUAUGAAAAUUUCUAAUCACAAUGGAAUGCUACCCUAAUUCAUCAAUUAUGGAAAUUUCUAACUUGAAUUCUGAUAUCCUAAUGGAAGGCUACUGAAGCAACUACAGUAUCAAAUAUCAGAAAUAAUGUUAUCCAUGCAAUUACAGUAUCAAAUAUUAGAAAUAAUUCAGCAAAAUUUCAAGUGAAAACUUUUAACAAAUAUCAGAAAUAAUGCUACUCAUGCAACUACAGUGUCAAAUAUCAUAAAUAAUCCAUCAAUCAUGGAAAUUUUGAGUGAAAAUUUCUUCCAAGCAACCACAUAAUCAAAUAUCAGAAAUAAUACUACCUAUCCAACCAUAGUAUCAAAUAUUAGAAAUAAUUCAUCAAAAUUUUGAGUGGAAAGUUUCAACAAAUAUCGAAAAUAAUGCUAUUUAUGCAAUCAAAUAUUAGAAAUAAUGCAUUUACCAUGGAAAUUUCGAGUGAAAUUUUUUCCCAAAUAACCAUAAUAUCAAAUAUCAGAAAUAAUUGAUCAAUUAUAAAAAUUUUGAGUGUAAAUUUCUAACUUUAAUUUUGAGAUCCCAAUGGAAGGCUAUCCAUAAAAAAUAAUCCACAUCACAAAUGGGUGUAAAUUAGAGAGAAUACAACAAAAUCAUGUUAAAUAUAUCAGAUUGACAAUAGCGUGAAAAACCUUGGAAUCUGCAAGACGGCGAGCGAAGUUUUGAGUGGAUACGAUGCGAUUUUAGGGUAAAUCACUCUAAAAGUCACAAAGCUUUGGUUUCUUUUGCAAUGUGGUCACCAAACUUCAAUUAUUUGCAAAGUGAUCACAUUUAAGAUUUUUUGGCCUGCCCUCGUAGGAGUUGUUGUCGUUCCACUGACGUGGCAAAUAAUCACAGUCACAUACUGAAUGUACAAAAACUAUCAAUGAAAAUGUGCCACCUAGCACAACCCCCAAAUCCCCAUAAAACCCAUUCUCCUCCCCCCCCCCCCCUCUCUCUCUCUCUCCUUCUUCCUCUCUCUCUUUUUUCUUGCCUGCCUUUGUUGCCCUUCCUUCUAGUCGCCAAUCGCCACCAUUGGAUCCGCCGCUAAUCGCCUUUGAGGCAGCCGCCGCCUCCAUUGUCGUUCGAUGCCGCCAUCGACGCUUCUCCUUCGUCGCCUCCUCUGACUACUUAGUUCACUGUUGUUUCACCCGCUGGUCAUCGCUUCGCUGUCGCCUCCACCUCUGGCCACCUGCUGCUUCGUCGCUGCCUCUGGUCACCGUUGCUGCAAACAGGGAGACUACUUCACCAUCACCUUCGCUUCCGAUCACUAGCUGUUUCACCUCCAGUCCCCUGUUAACAAUGAGGGUCUAGAAGAAAGCGACUACUGCAACAUUAUGGGUGGAUUGGGUAUGUAGAGAUUUAGACGGAGUGGAACCAAAAUAUGUUUGCAGGGGUUGAUUCCAGCCUUUAAUCAAGUAUUCCCUACAUUAGAGAAGAGGUAUUGUGUGAGGCACAUUUAUACAAACUUGAGAAAAAAUUGGAAAGGAAAAGAGUUGAAGGACAUGUUAUGGGAUUGUGCUAGGUCAAGCUAUGUCUAAAUGUUCACCAAAUGCAUGGGAGAAGUUGAUAAGAAGUCACAUGAAGCGUAUGAAUAUCUAAAUGAAAUUUCACCUUAGCGUUGGACAAGGUCACAUUGCCAAACUCAUUGUAAGUGUGACUUGCUGUUGAAUAAUAUUUGUGAAUGCUUCAAGAGUUGCAUCUUAGAAGCUAGGGAUAAGGGCAUCAUCACAUCCUUAGAAAUCAUAAGGUGUAAGUUGAUGAAAAGGUUUUGGAAAAAAGGGAUGCUAUGAAAAAAAUGCCCGGUCCAUUGUGCCCCAAAAUUAAAAAAAAAGAAGAAGAUAAAAUUAAGGUGCUCAGCUUCAACUACAUGUCCACUUGGUCUGGGGGAAGUAAAUGUCAGGUUGUCGGACCAGAAGGUCAAUUUGUAGUUGAUAUGAAUGAGAGGAGUUAUAGCUGUAGGAGAUGGGAUCUCACAGGGAUCCCAUGUGAGCAUGCAGUCAAUGCAUUGUUCAUGAAUAGAAAUAAGCCAAAAGAUUAUGUGGAUACGUGUUACACUAUUGAGUCUUAUUUGAAGAUCUAUAAGUAUUGUAUCAACCCAAUAAAUGGAUAUGAAAUAUGGCCCAUGAGUAAGGAAGCUGCUCUUUUACCCCCACUAAAACCAAAUCCAAAGAAAGGAAGAAGGGCAAAAUUAAGGAGAUUAGAUGCAAAGGAGUUGGAGAAAUUGAAGACUGGAAGGGUUUCAAGGAGAUGAUCUGUUAUGACAUGCACAGUGUGUGGUGUGAAGGGUCAUAAUAAAAGAUAUCAUGGCAAGCAGGUAAAUGAUGGUGAUGCUAGACAACAAGAGUCCACUACAUUUUCAGCUCCUACAUUAAUCCCCACAAGAAGGAAAUUGCAAGUGAAAUAACCCAGAGUGACAAAGACAAGCUAUACUGGUACGAACAAGAAACUCAUUUCAUGCACAUUUGUUAUGAAUUUUAUUUAACAGGUGAAAUAACCCAAAGUGACAAAGACAAGCUAUACUGAUAUGAAUUCACAAACAAGAAACUCGAGCCCACUAGUGAACCCAACUCCUCAAUUCUGCACCUUGCCUGAUGUCACAAACUAUGAGGCACCUGUUAAUCAACAAGAAAUUGAUGUAUCACAGGUGAAUCAUUCAGAAAAUAAAGUAUGUACCCACAUAUUGCCACCAUGGUCAAAGGUAUGCACUGAAGGGCGAAGAUGUCAUAAAAAAGAUGUUCGGGAUUCCUCUAGAUCAUUCCAAAUAAUGGGACUUGUUUGCUGUGCCGGUCAUCCUUUUAUCUUACAGACUCACUUCCUUCAUUGUCCUCAAGCUCAAGAAGAGAGUUGUGCCGCAUCUUAUUGACUUGUUUGCUAUGCUGGUCAUCCUUUUAUGUUGUAGCAUAUAAUUAAGAUGGAGUGGAGAUUCAUUCAUAUAUUAUAUGCCUAUGUUUAGACACUGAAAGAGUAGUGUUGUUUGGUUCAAUAAUAUUUACUAUUCUUUCAAUCAAGCAAAUAAAAUGGUAUUGUUGCAAUCA